Molecule: ribosomal RNA, 659 nt
Filed under: uncultured bacterium
Lineage: Bacteria
Description: bacterial SSU rRNA
Rfam family: Bacterial small subunit ribosomal RNA
Source: RNAcentral
CAUGCAAGUCGAGCGUGAUCCAUUGACUUCGGUUGGUGGUGAAAGCGGCGAACGGGUGAGUAACGCGUGGGAACGUGCCCUUCAGAACGGAAUAGCCCGGGGAAACCUGGAUUAAUACCGUAUACGCCCCAAGGGGGAAAGAUUUAUCGUUGAAGGAUCGGCCCGCGUCUGAUUAGGUAGUUGGUGGGGUAAUGGCCUACCAAGCCGACGAUCAGUAGCUGGUUUGAGAGGAUGAUCAGCCACACUGGGACUGAGACACGGCCCAGACUCCUACGGGAGGCAGCAGUGGGGAAUCUUGGACAAUGGGGGCAACCCUGAUCCAGCCAUGCCGCGUGAGUGAAGAAGGCCGUCAGGUUGUAAGGCUCUUUCAACGGUGAAGAUAAUGACGGUAGCCGUAGAAGAAGCCCCGGCUAACUCCGUGCCAGCAGCCGCGGUAAUACGGAGGGGGCUAGCGUUGUUCGGAAUUACUGGGCGUAAAGCGCGCGUAGGCGGGUUGGCCAGUCAGGGGUGAAAUCCCGGAGCUCAACUCCGGAACUGCCCUUGAUACUGCCAGUCUAGAGAUCUGGAGAGGUGAGUGGAAUUCCGAGUGUAGAGGUGAAAUUCGUAGAUAUUCGGAGGAACACCAGCGGCGAAGGCGGCUCACUGGACAGAUACUGACG